RNAcentral lists this transfer RNA (66 nucleotides) under Boreoheptagyia brevitarsis. RNAcentral's name for it is "tRNA-Leu". Lineage: Eukaryota; Metazoa; Arthropoda; Insecta; Diptera; Chironomidae. The record is from RNAcentral.
ACUAUUUUGGCAGAUUAGUGCACUAAAUUUAGAAUUUAUAUAUGUAAUUUUUUAUUACAAAUAGUA